CCUUCUAAUAUAAAAAUUUGGGUAAACUUCAAAUAUCACCCAUGUAGUUUUCAACUUUCUCAUUUUAGUACUCCGUAGUUUAAAGUGUAUUAAUUUAGUACGCUGUGGUUUUAUUUUUCUCUUUCGUCAGCCUCUCUGUUAACUUUUCGUUAAAUCAUAUAAAAAGCCGCUUUAGUACUCUUUAAUUUUAACUUUGUCACUGAUUUAAUAAAAAAAAUUAGUGGAGAGGAGAAUAAAAAGAAAAAAAUAAAAUCACAAGGUGCGAAAGUGAUACACUUUAAACCACAGGAUACUAAAGUGAAAAACUACGAAAUCACAAGGGUGGUAUUUGAAGUUU
Molecule: long non-coding RNA, 337 nt
Filed under: Ananas comosus (pineapple)
Lineage: Eukaryota; Viridiplantae; Streptophyta; Magnoliopsida; Poales; Bromeliaceae
Description: long non-coding RNA (ACOM_LNC032397)
Source: RNAcentral